GACAGAGGGUGCAAACGUUGUUCGGAAUUACUGGGCGUAAAGCGUGCGCAGGCGGCCUUGCAAGUCGGGCGUGAAAUCCCACGGCUCAACCGUGGAAGUGCACUCGAAACUGCUUGGCUAGAGUCUUGGGGAGGAAGGCGGAAUGCUUGGUGUAGAGGUGAAAUUCGUAGAGAUCGAGCGGAACACCAGUGGCGAAGGCGAGUUCCUGGACAAGACCUGACGCUGAGGCACGAAAGCCAGGGGAGCAAACAGG
RNAcentral lists this ribosomal RNA (253 nucleotides) under uncultured bacterium. Its description in RNAcentral is "partial 16S ribosomal RNA". It matches the Rfam family "Bacterial small subunit ribosomal RNA", at positions 524 to 776 of the family's 1533-position model. The record is from RNAcentral.